This 478-nucleotide ribosomal RNA is filed under the name uncultured bacterium. Its description in RNAcentral is "partial 16S ribosomal RNA". It matches the Rfam family "Bacterial small subunit ribosomal RNA", at positions 28 to 507 of the family's 1533-position model. The record is from RNAcentral.
GAUGAACGCUAGCGGCAGGCUUAACACAUGCAAGUCGAGGGGUAUUUAUCUUCGGAUGGAGAGACCGGCGCACGGGUGCGUAACGCGUAUGCAAUCUACCUUUUACAUAGGGAUAGCCCAGAGAAAUUUGGAUUAAUACCUCAUAGUAUAUAGACUCGGCAUCGAGAUUAUAUUAAAGUCACAACGGGAAAAGAUGAGCAUGCGUCCCAUUAGCUCGUUGGUAAGGUAACGGCUUGCCAAGGCUACGAUGGGUAGGGGUCCUGAGAGGGGGAGGCCUCACACUGGUACUGGGACACGUACCAGACUCAUACGGGAGGCAGCAGUGAGGAAUACAGGACAAUGGGAGCAAGCCUGAUCCAGCCAUGCCGCGUGCAGGAUGACCGUCCUAUGGAUUGUAACCUGCUUUUAGAAGAGAGGAAACACUGCUACGUGUAGCUGCUUGACGGUAUCGUAAGAAUAAGGAUCGGCUAACUCCGUG